GUUACAUCUCCUGCCUGUAAGUGCUGAUGGCACUAAAGAAGGUCAUUCCUCCAGAGCUGCUCUCUGAUGAAGAAGAGAUAUACGUCUACAGGGUAAAUACAACACACACACAACACCUUCCGUAUCACUUUGACCAUGAUGGUUUUUCUCUCAGAUCCUGGAGAUGGUGGAUUUCAGGGUGACAGAUGGACUUACAGACCUGGCUCUUUGCUGUGGUUGCGAGCCUGGAGCAGAAAAUAGCCACCAUGGAUGUAUUUAUGCGUUCCCUGAUAAGCAAAAUGGACUUCCAUUCUUUGGCAUUAAAGCUAUACAAAGCAAAGCAGCUGUUCCUGCUGGAGGUGUAGACAGGGGGUGCUGUGGCCCAGCAGGGCUGUAUCAGCGCAGAGCAGCUCUUAGUGGAGCUCAAGGCUGGGGGCAUCCGACCAGAACAAGAGGAAGCCAUCAAAAAGGAGCUCCGACACAUCAGCUCCCUGGACCUGCUGGACUUCCUGGCGUACCUGCCCCUCUUCGUCCUAAUCCACAACUCAGUCAUCGCCAACCCACUGGAUGACUCCAGCAACCUGUGAUGUCAUCGGCUACACAGGCUUGAACUCUAUCUGUCAUUAGCUACCACACACUGUGGCAACAGGGUUCCAGGGUUCCCUUUAUAAAACGAUAGCUAAUGCACUUACAGCUGUUUUUGAGAUGUUCUUUUGGGGGGGGGGGCACAUUUCAUGUAACAAGGUCGACAUUCUGAGACAUUUCUUCAAAAGGACUUUGGAGAUACCCUUUGGAAUAUGCAUUUAUAAAUAGCCUACUGAAGGUGGACGUCUAAGCUUGAGAAUGGUGCUGUCUAUGGUACUGAAAUAUGCAGGGAUUUUCAGUUGCGGUUCAUGCUGGAUCAGUAAUGCACUGAAUAGGGACAUAACACGUUUAGACUCCAGUUAGACAAGGGAUACACAAUUGAUGCUCAUGGGGGACCAAAUCCUAAAAUGCAAGAUGCAGGUGCAACUUCGAACUUUUGCACAAAUUAAGCAUUGAUUUAAUGCAUGAUUUAUGCCAAACCUUUGUGUGGGUUUUUAAGAUAGGGGUGGUGAAUAUAAUGGCUCUCCACCGCUUUAGUAACUGAGUAAUGUGGCAUUAUGAAAAUAAAAUAAAUGAAGCAUGACCUAACCUAAAUCUCCUAUGUGUUUUCAAUCAUCUCCCUCAGCUUUAAGUGAGAGGGUCCGGCAAGAAAUUACAAAUUAGAUAUGGCAGUUCUUUAUUUAAUUUCCCUCAGGCUUGACAGAGUUGGGGAGGAAAGCGUUAACGCACUCUGACAGGCGGUCACGGAAUUGUUCGGACCAUUCAUUGCUGUUUUCGGGUAGCUGUGUCAUAGAAAUUCUAUGAUGCCUAAUAAGGGUAUCAAAGAGAGCUAUAACAUAUUGCCUGUCGCUUUUGUGUCUUGUGCCCUUCUUGGUAAGCUCUAUUUUUAUUUUACCUUUUAUUGUAACCCUUUCCUGCAGUCAAAUMAUCAAAUCGCCCUCUAGUGCAAUCAUGGGUGGAAUGUUAUUAUUUUUUCAUAAUUUUUUUUUUUUUUUAAUUACAACGAAAAUUCUGUGU
Non-coding RNA from Salvelinus sp. IW2-2015, 1581 nucleotides. Lineage: Eukaryota; Metazoa; Chordata; Actinopteri; Salmoniformes; Salmonidae. The record is from RefSeq and is a predicted model, not a curated record.